UAGUCCACGCCGUAAACGAUGAUUACUCGGUGCUAGCGAUAUAAUGUUAGUGCCCAAGCGAAAGUGAUAAGUAAUCCACCUGGGAAGUACGGUCGCAAGAUUGAAACUCAAAGGAAUUGACGGGGGCCCGCACAAGCGGUGGAGCAUGUGGUUUAAUUCGAUGAUACGCGAGGAACCUUACCUGGGCUUAAAUGUAGAUUGACAGUCAAAGAGAUUUGAUUUUCUUCGGACAAUUUACAAGGUGCUGCAUGGUUGUCGUCAGCUCGUGCCGUGAGGUGUCGGGUUAAGUCCCAUAACGAGCGCAACCCUUACCGUUAGUUGCCAUCAGGUCAAGCUGGGGACUCUAGCGGAACUGCCUGCGCAAACAGAGAGGAAGGUGGGGAUGACGUCAAAUCAGCACGGCCCUUAUGUCCAGGGCUACACACGUGCUACAAUGGUCGGUACAGAGGGCAGCUACCUAGCGAUAGGAUGCCAAUCUCGAAAGCCGAUCUCAGUUCGGAUC
This 502-nucleotide ribosomal RNA is filed under the name uncultured bacterium. RNAcentral describes it as "bacterial SSU rRNA". It matches the Rfam family "Bacterial small subunit ribosomal RNA", at positions 791 to 1299 of the family's 1533-position model. The record is from RNAcentral.